CUGAAAGAAAUUAGAAUUACAUUGAAGACCUUUGGAGGUCCUUCUGUUUUCUGGAAAUUGGGAAUUUGCGCUGCUCUUACUUGGGUCAAGCCUGAGCUAUUCAGACCAACACCUAUAGUACCAGCAUACCACAGGCCACGUAAGGUAGUAACCAUGUGAAUGCGAACCUGCAGUACCAGCAUACCGAGGGUAGUAAAAUCGCAGUGUACUCUUUGUCCCAUCUGAACCUGUAAUGGCACACUGCCUACAGUGUGCCCUCGAGGUAGGUACUAGGCUACUAGCAGCGCGUAUCGUCUUAGGAGGUACUAACAGGAUCGUAUCGGAUGUUCGGACGCUAAUUAGGAGAAUUAAAUAUGAGCUAAUUAUAAAACUAACUGCAGAACUCCUAUACUAAUUCACGAGACAAAUCUAUUAAACCUAAUUAAUCCAUCAUUAGCAAAUGAUUACUGUAGCACCACAUUGUCAGAUCAUGGACUAAUUAGACUUAAUAGAUUCGUCUCGCGAAUUAGACUCUAUCUGUGCAAUUAAUUUUAUAAUUAGACUAUAUUUAAUACUUCUAAUUAAUAUUAGAACAUCCGAUGUGAUAGGUACUAAAGUUUAUGAGUGUGUUGCACCUCAGUAGACGUAGUUCUUGACAAACAUUCCCUCCCUGGCCUCGGCGGCCUCGCCGUCAGAGGUGUACUUGCCGAGCUGCGCCAGGGAGUUGGCCUUGGCGCGGAGCAGCAAAGCAUCC
RNAcentral lists this long non-coding RNA (733 nucleotides) under Setaria italica (foxtail millet). Its description in RNAcentral is "long non-coding RNA (SITA_LNC003613)". The record is from RNAcentral. Lineage: Eukaryota; Viridiplantae; Streptophyta; Magnoliopsida; Poales; Poaceae.